RNAcentral lists this ribosomal RNA (493 nucleotides) under uncultured bacterium. RNAcentral's name for it is "partial 16S ribosomal RNA". It matches the Rfam family "Bacterial small subunit ribosomal RNA", at positions 30 to 523 of the family's 1533-position model. The record is from RNAcentral.
AUUGAACGCUGGCGGCAUGCCUUACACAUGCAAGUCGAACGGUAACAGGUUAAGCGGACGAGUGGCGAACGGGUGAGUAAUAUAUCGGAACGUGCCCAGUCGUGGGGGAUAACGUAGCGAAAGCUACGCUAAUACCGCAUACGAUCUACGGAUGAAAGCGGGGGAUCGCAAGACCUCGCGCGAUUGGAGCGGCCGAUAUCAGAUUAGGUAGUUGGUGGGGUAAAGGCCCACCAAGCCUGCGAUCUGUAGCUGGUCUGAGAGGACGACCAGCCACACUGGAACUGAGACACGGUCCAGGCUCCUACGGGAGGCAGCAGUGGGGAAUUUUGGACAAUGGGCGCAAGCCUGAUCCAGCAAUGCCGCGUGCAGGAUGAAGGCCUUCGGGUUGUAAACUGCUUUUGUACGGAACGAAACGGCUUUUUCUAAUACAGAGAGCUAAUGACGGUACCGUAAGAAUAAGCACCGGCUAACUACGUGCCAGCCGCCGCUGUAA